RNAcentral lists this ribosomal RNA (449 nucleotides) under uncultured Sulfuricurvum sp. RNAcentral's name for it is "bacterial SSU rRNA". It matches the Rfam family "Bacterial small subunit ribosomal RNA", at positions 936 to 1382 of the family's 1533-position model. The record is from RNAcentral. Lineage: Bacteria; Pseudomonadati; Campylobacterota; Epsilonproteobacteria; Campylobacterales; Sulfurimonadaceae.
AGCAUGUGGUUUAAUUCGAAGAUACACGAGGAACCUUACCUGGCCUUGACAUGGUAGGAACCCUUAAGAGAUUAGGGGUGCUAGCUUGCUAGAACCUACACACAGGUGCUGCACGGCUGUCGUCAGCUCGUGUCGUGAGAUGUUGGGUUAAGUCCCGCAACGAGCGCAACCCUCGUCCUUAGUUGCUAACAGUUCGGCUGAGCACUCUAGGGAGACUGCCUUCGCAAGGAGGAGGAAGGUGAGGACGACGUCAAGUCAUCAUGGCCCUUACGGCCAGGGCUACACACGUGCUACAAUGGGGCGUACAGAGAGCUGCGAUACCGCGAGGUGGAGCCAAUCUCUUAAAGCGUCUCUCAGUUCGGAUUGUUCUCUGCAACUCGAGAACAUGAAGCUGGAAUCACUAGUAAUCGCAGAUCAGCUAUGCUGCGGUGAAUACGUUCCCGGGUCUU